Long non-coding RNA from Amphiprion ocellaris (clown anemonefish), 818 nucleotides. RefSeq lists it as uncharacterized. The transcript has 2 exons. The record is from RefSeq and is a predicted model, not a curated record. Lineage: Eukaryota; Metazoa; Chordata; Actinopteri; Pomacentridae.
UGGAUCCUUUUUUCUGAGGUUUCCAGAUCUUUCAGGAUGUGAGCUCAUGAUAGGAUGUUUCUGUCAGUGAAACUCUCAGAGUCUGAUGACUGACUGUCUGUUUGAUUUCAACAUUCUUUUGUUCUUAUUUGAUUGUUUUCUAUAGAAGUUCUUUCUGGUCUUUUCCUGCAGGAUGUCUGAGGGGGCGGAGCCAAAUCAUUAUGACAUCAGACUCACCUGGACUGAUCACCUGAGAACUAUUUAACCUGCCACUCGGUCUGAUUGAUUCUUCUGUUCUGGUUUUAUCUGGUGUGUUUGUCCAACCUGCAGCUCAGGUCCCUCUCUAUCUCCCCACACAUCCACCAACCACUGGAACACAUCUCCAAAGUUCUGCCGGGCCAGCUCAGCUUCCCCUCAGAAGAAGUGCCUGCCACCUGCCAGAUGAAGGAGCCUUUUGAGAGGCAGCUGGCAUCGUGAUUGGACUGUACUUUGGUCUGUUCCAAUCCAGCUUCAGCUCCAGAGACGGCAGGCGGGACGAGUCAACGGAGGCCUGGUGGACGAAGGCAUGCAGCUGAGUACAAUCCAGAAAACAACAGAGGAGGAGUGCAGCGGCCCAGGGCCAGAACAACCAGAGUAGCAUCGUAUGUCUCUUAGAAAACAUCAUAGUAUAGCCUUUGCUAUGAAAAAACGGCAUCAUAUGCAUCAUAUAUUGUACAAAUAACAAGUCAAAGGAAAGAGACAUACACUGUAGAAUUGUAGUAAUUGUGGGCUGACUGAUUUACUGAUUAUCAGUAUUUUAUUUUUUACUGAUUUACAGUAAUAAAUCAAUUUAAAAAUGG